AGAGGGAGACAGUUGCACAGUGUGGGAAAUUUGAAGAUGAUGCAGAUAUUAGUCAUCAUGAUGACAAUCACAGUCCAACGAUUGAAAGGCUAGAUAAUGUUGAUGAACCUGAAGCCUUGAAGGAGAAUAUCCUAGCAGCAGGUAAAAGUACCCCCAGUUCAUGACUUUGAUCUGAAUGUGGGCUUGGAUGAGAAUGGGGAGUCUAAAACAGUGUUAACUUCUGCCCCCACAAGCUUGACAGCAAAACCUACUCCUGUAACGAAGCAUGAAGAAUUACCUGGCUGGUCACUUGCAGACAUAGAAAAGAUGGAUAUCAAUCCCAUUCAUCUAGCCAACAUAGAUAGAAGCAUAGUCGAGGACAUGGAAGAUUAUGAUGAAG
RNAcentral lists this unclassified non-coding RNA (379 nucleotides) under Hevea brasiliensis (rubber tree). The record is from RNAcentral. Lineage: Eukaryota; Viridiplantae; Streptophyta; Magnoliopsida; Malpighiales; Euphorbiaceae.